GGAUUAGANNNNNGGGUAGUCCCAGCUGUAAACGAUGCAGACUCGGUGAUGCAUUGGCUUGUGGCCAAUGCAGUGCCGCAGGGAAGCCGUUAAGUCNNNCGCCUGGGAAGUACGUACGCAAGUAUGAAACUUAAAGGAAUUGGCGGGGGAGCACCANNAGGGGUGAAGCCUGCGNNNNNAUUGGAGUCAACGCCAGAAAUCUUACCUGGGGAGACAGCANAAUGAAGGUCAAGCUGAAGACUUUACCAGACACGCUGAGAGGUGGUGCAUGGCCGUCGCCAGCUCGUGCCGUGAGAUGUCCUGUUAAGUCAGGUAACGAGCGAGACCCCUGCGUCUAGUUGCUACCAUUACUCUCUGGAGCAGUGGAGCGAAUUAGACGGACCGCCACAGUUAAUGUGGAGGAAGGAAGGGGCCACGGCAGGUCAGUAUGCCCCGAAACCCUAGGGCUACACGCGGG
This 457-nucleotide ribosomal RNA is filed under the name uncultured archaeon. Its description in RNAcentral is "partial 16S ribosomal RNA". It matches the Rfam family "Archaeal small subunit ribosomal RNA", at positions 726 to 1180 of the family's 1478-position model. The record is from RNAcentral.